CGCCCAGACUCCUACGGGAGGCAGCAGUGGGGGAUAUUGGACAAUGGGGGAAACCCUGAUCCAGCGACGCCGCGUGAGUGAAGAAGUAUUUCGGUAUGUAAAUCUCUGUCAGCAGGGAAGAAAGAAAUGACGGUACCUGGCCAAGAAGCCCCGGCUAACUACGUGCCAGCAGCCGCGGUAAUACGUAGGGGGCAAGCGUUAUCCGGAAUUACUGGGUGUAAAGGGAGCGUAGACGGCACUGCAAGUCCGGAGUGAAAGCCCAAGGCUUAACCAUGGGACUGCUCUGGAAACUGUGGAGCUUGAGUGCGGGAGGGGCAGGCGGAAUUCCUAGUGUAGCGGUGAAAUGCGUAGAUAUUAGGAGGAACACCAGUGGCGAAGGCGGUCUGCUGGACAGCAACUGACGCUGAGGCGCGAAAGCGUGGGGAGCAAACAGGAUUAGAUACCCCAGUAC
Molecule: ribosomal RNA, 451 nt
Filed under: uncultured bacterium
Lineage: Bacteria
Description: bacterial SSU rRNA
Rfam family: Bacterial small subunit ribosomal RNA
Source: RNAcentral